GGCCAGACUCCUACGGGAGGCAGCAGUGGGGAAUAUUGCACAAUGGGGGAAACCCUGAUGCAGCGACGCCGCGUGAGUGAAGAAGUAUUUCGGUAUGUAAAGCUCUAUCAGCAGGGAAGAAAAUGACGGUACCUGACUAAGAAGCCCCGGCUAACUACGUGCCAGCAGCCGCGGUAAUACGUAGGGGGCAAGCGUUAUCCGGAUUUACUGGGUGUAAAGGGAGCGUAGACGGCAAUACAAGUCGGAAGUGAAAUACCCGGGCUCAACCUGGGAACUGCUUUGGAAACUGUAUGGCUGGAGUGCUGGAGAGGUAAGCGGAAUUCCUAGUGUAGCGGUGAAAUGCGUAGAUAUUAGGAGGAACACCAGUGGCGAAGGCGGCUUACUGGACAGUAACUGACGUUGAGGCUCGAAAGCGUGGGGAGCAAACAGGAUUAGAUACCCCCGUAC
RNAcentral lists this ribosomal RNA (447 nucleotides) under uncultured bacterium. Its description in RNAcentral is "bacterial SSU rRNA". It matches the Rfam family "Bacterial small subunit ribosomal RNA", at positions 329 to 793 of the family's 1533-position model. The record is from RNAcentral.